ACGGGUGAGUAACACGUGGGCAAUCUGCCCUUCACUCUGGGACAAGCCCUGGAAACGGGGUCUAAUACCGGAUAAUACCUGCCUGGGCAUCUGGGUGGGUUGAAAGCUCCGGCGGUGAAGGAUGAGCCCGCGGCCUAUCAGCUUGUUGGUGAGGUAGUGGCUCACCAAGGCGACGACGGGUAGCCGGCCUGAGAGGGCGACCGGCCACACUGGGACUGAGACACGGCCCAGACUCCUACGGGAGGCAGCAGUGGGGAAUAUUGCACAAUGGGCGAAAGCCUGAUGCAGCGACGCCGCGUGAGGGAUGACGGCCUUCGGGUUGUAAACCUCUUUCAGCAGGGAAGAAGCGAGAGUGACGGUACCUGCAGAAGAAGCGCCGGCUAACUACGUGCCAGCAGCCGCGGUAAUACGUAGGGCGCAAGCGUUGUCCGGAAUUAUUGGGCGUAAAGAGCUCGUAGGCGGCUUGUCACGUCGGGUGUGAAAGACCGGGGCUUAACCCCGGUUCUGCAUUCGAUACGGGCUAGCUAGAGUGUGGUAGGGGAGAUCGGAAUUCCUGGUGUAGCGGUGAAAUGCGCAGA
RNAcentral lists this ribosomal RNA (578 nucleotides) under Streptomyces sp. TDB-116. RNAcentral's name for it is "bacterial SSU rRNA". It matches the Rfam family "Bacterial small subunit ribosomal RNA", at positions 102 to 694 of the family's 1533-position model. The record is from RNAcentral. Lineage: Bacteria; Bacillati; Actinomycetota; Actinomycetes; Kitasatosporales; Streptomycetaceae.